This is a non-coding RNA of Podarcis lilfordi (Lilford's wall lizard), 851 nucleotides long. The record is from the annotation of a GenBank genome assembly. Lineage: Eukaryota; Metazoa; Chordata; Lepidosauria; Squamata; Lacertidae.
AAAUGAUAUUUAUUAAAGUUUCAAAAAAUACAAAAAAUACAGAAUACAAAAAGAAAAAGAAUAAAGUUUUAAAAAUAUAACCAAAAAAGUAAAAAAGAAAAAGAAACAUACCAAAUAAGACAGUUAAAAAGACAUUAAUUUUCCAUAACCUAUCUUCCCUACACUUAUUUCCCCGGACCUCCUCAUACCUCCCUUUUUUGUAUUCCAGUUCAAUUUGUUAGUUCAGCAAAUCCUUACCAUUGAGCUGUUACCCAAUUGCAAACCUUUUUUCAUAUCUCUUAAAGCAUUACAGCUAAAAACCUCUUAGUUUCUAUCCAACAUCGUUCUAAGAUUCCUUAAUUUUACAAUAUUUCUGUAAGUAGUCUUUAAAUUUCUUCCAAUCUUCUUUCACCGACUCGUCUCUCUGGUCUCGGAUUCUGCCAGUCAUUUCCGCCACAUCUUCUUGCUCUUCCAGGCCAUGAGGGGGGAGGCAGGGCUGCUGGUGCUGGGUCCCCAGGCCUCAGGAGGGGGACGUCUCCUGGCGUCCCCAGCAGCCUCCAUGCUGCCGGGGUCACAAACAUGGCUGGGUCCCGCCAUGGGGUCACCAACAUGGCUGCUGUCUGCCCUCGGCUGCCAGGCAGAGGCUGCUGGUUCUGCAGCUGGGACUUCAGCUCCCCUCCUGCGGCCGCCACCGUCUCCUUCUCCAAGCCCCCUAGGGUCUUCCUCUUUUCCCAUCUUCAGACUUGGCUGCUUGUCACUCCCGCUUCCUCGCGGUCCAAUAUGUGAUUUUUUAAAAUAAAAUUUGAAAAUCAGCUAAGCCACCCAAGAGCUGUUGGGCCAAGGCUGGGUCUCAACUGCCAAGUGAGGUUGGG